This is a long non-coding RNA of Cyprinodon tularosa, 1083 nucleotides long. RefSeq lists it as uncharacterized. NCBI's taxonomy places the organism in Eukaryota, Metazoa, Chordata, Actinopteri, Cyprinodontiformes, Cyprinodontidae. The record is from RefSeq and is a predicted model, not a curated record. The transcript has 4 exons.
CGAGUCCAAGGCUGUAAACUCAGCUCGCCUGAGAGCCUUCCUCCAAAAUAACCAUGCUUCGGGCGUAGUUGCAGAGGCAGCCGCACAGUAUCCCCCUCAGAGCGUCCCGGUUCAUCUGCCAAACUCCAUGCGGGUCUUUAGAAAGCGGCUGACUGGAGGUUGUGAAGCCCUGAAAGGGGAGAAGGGAGUAAAAAAGCUUCCAGGCACCAAGAAAAGGAAAGUGACUGCUAACGACUUAUUGUUGAUUGGGCGAAGUUCAAUUAGAGAAACACUACACCAGUUGGUGACCCGCUGCUGCGUCUUAAAGGGCCGGAGCAGAAUAACUAAUUGGACGUGGGGAAUAGGAGGAGUCUGGUGUACUGCCUUGAAAUGUUUAUGCAUCUGUUUCCCUCUGCUGCUGUAGAAAGUCAGAGCCGAUGGUGGAAUCAAAGCAGGUGGAAUCCAGUGGAACGCAAUAUGCGCUGCCGUGAAAUAAGCGAGUAAUAAAGGUGACGCCGGGCUGCGGGUUUCAGUCUGAUAAGGGAGACAACAUUUUCUGCACCGAUGUCUAACACGUUCAGAAAGGAAGAGAAUGAGAAGAAGAGAAGAUUUUGGACGCAUUGGAAAAAAUCGGCAGGUUCGUUUUAAUAAAGAUUUUCUGCAAAAGAUGCGAGGAAGGGCUUUAUGCAGACAAGAAAUUAAAGGCUGCAGCGUGGAGCCUGCUGCUCAUGGAGCCACUGCGGAGAGUCUUGUGCCAACAGCAGCAUAUGGUGACAUUGGUUUAGGGACGGAGUUGUAAAACAGCAGGAAAUUCUAUUAUCAGCCGUGGAGGUCCACCCUCUGAGGCUGCUUUGAAUCCAUAUUUCUCCAUAACGAGCAGGAGCUCGCAGGGAUAAAUCCAGUUAGAGGGAAUUUGGAGAGAAACGCGCAUCGUUUUGGAGAAAGUUCCGGGAGAAUCAAAUGAUGUUAAUAUCAGAGUGAAGGUAAUUUUAUUGGACAUUUUUUUGACUUGAAUUUGAAAUCAGGAUAAACUCGAAGGUAUAUGCCAGGAUAUAUCUUUCAUGCUUGAAUAAAUAAAAUCCCCGAUUGAGAUGAACAGAUUUA